Molecule: ribosomal RNA, 325 nt
Filed under: uncultured Geobacter sp.
Lineage: Bacteria; Pseudomonadati; Thermodesulfobacteriota; Desulfuromonadia; Geobacterales; Geobacteraceae
Description: bacterial SSU rRNA
Rfam family: Bacterial small subunit ribosomal RNA
Source: RNAcentral
GCCAGCAGCCGCGGUAAUACGGAGGGUGCGAGCGUUGUUCGGAAUUAUUGGGCGUAAAGCGCGUGUAGGCGGUUUCUUAAGUCUGAUGUGAAAGCCCCGGGCUCAACCUGGGAAGUGCAUUGGAUACUGGGAGACUUGAAUACGGGAGAGGGUAGUGGAAUUCCCCGUGUAGGAGUGAAAUCCGUAGAUAUUAGGAGGAACACCGGUGGCGAAGGCGGCUACCUGGACCGAUAUUGACGCUGAGACGCGAAAGCGUGGGGAGCAAACAGGAUUAGAUACCCUGGUAGUCCACGCCGUAAACGAUGAGUACUAGGUGUCGCGGGUA